Molecule: ribosomal RNA, 849 nt
Filed under: uncultured bacterium
Lineage: Bacteria
Description: bacterial SSU rRNA
Rfam family: Bacterial small subunit ribosomal RNA
Source: RNAcentral
CGAUUGAGUUUGAUCAUGGCUCAGGAUGAACGCUGGCGGCGUGCCUAAUACAUGCAAGUCGAGCGCGAAGAUCAGGAGCUUGCUCCUGAGAUUCGAGCGGCGGACGGGUGAGUAACACGUAGGCAACCUACCCUUGAGAUUGGGAUAACUACCGGAAACGGUAGCUAAUACCGGAUACGACAUUCCUGCAUAAGUAAGAAUGUUAAAAGGCGGAUUUAUCUGCCGCUCAUGGAUGGGCCUGCGGUGCAUUAGCUAGUUGGUGAGAUAGUAGCUCACCAAGGCGACGAUGCAUAGCCGACCUGAGAGGGUGAUCGGCCACACUGGGACUGAGACACGGCCCAGACUCCUACGGGAGGCAGCAGUAGGGAAUCUUCCGCAAUGGACGCAAGUCUGACGGAGCAACGCCGCGUGAGUGAUGAAGGGUUUCGGCUCGUAAAACUCUGUUGUUAAGGAAGAACACUUGAGGUAGUAACUGGCCUUGAGAUGACGGUACUUAACCAGAAAGCCACGGCUAACUACGUGCCAGCAGCCGCGGUAAUACGUAGGUGGCAAGCGUUAUCCGGAAUUAUUGGGCGUAAAGCGCGCGUAGGCGGUAAAAUAAGUCUGAUGUGAAAGCCCCCGGCUCAACCGGGGAGGGUCAUUGGAAACUGUUUUACUUGAGUACAGAAGAGGAGAGUGGAAUUCCAUGUGUAGCGGUGAAAUGCGCAGAGAUAUGGAGGAACACCAGUGGCGAAGGCGGCUCUCUGGUCUGUAACUGACGCUGAGGUGCGAAAGCGUGGGGAUCAAACAGGAUUAGAUACCCUGUAGUCCACGCCGUAAACGAUGAGUGCUAAGUGUUGGGGGGUUUCC